CUGGCGACGAGUGGCGGACGGGUGAGUAACGCGUAGGAAUCUGCCUAGUAGUGGGGGACAACCUGGGGAAACCCAGGCUAAUACCGCAUACGCCCUAAGGGGGAAAGCGGGGGAUCUUCGGACCUCGCGCUAUUAGAUGAGCCUGCGUCGGAUUAGCUUGUUGGUGGGGUAAAGGCCUACCAAGGCGACGAUCCGUAGCUGGUCUGAGAGGAUGAUCAGCCACACCGGGACUGAGACACGGCCCGG
This 246-nucleotide ribosomal RNA is filed under the name uncultured bacterium. Its description in RNAcentral is "partial 16S ribosomal RNA". It matches the Rfam family "Bacterial small subunit ribosomal RNA", at positions 85 to 334 of the family's 1533-position model. The record is from RNAcentral.